This is a non-coding RNA of Lolium perenne, 606 nucleotides long. NCBI's taxonomy places the organism in Eukaryota, Viridiplantae, Streptophyta, Magnoliopsida, Poales, Poaceae. The record is from RefSeq and is a predicted model, not a curated record.
GACCUCCUGAAACUGAAAUGGUUCACAGAUCAAAAUCUGGUCAGAUCUGACUUUGUCGAAUUAAACCUGGAGCUUGGAAACGAAUUUUUGAAUGAAACAAACUGGGGGAUAUUUGGUUGAUACCCUGGUGAUAAACGAGAGAGGCAAUUGCUAAGUUGUGAUGCACUCAUACCUUUACUAGAUGCGAACAAUUCUGGAGAAGAAGAAGAAGUGGAAUCGGACGAGGAUUUUAUUUAUAUAUGUUGUUGGAAUUCUUAUAUUGAUGGAGUUGAAGAAGUACAGGGACAAAUAAGCCAAGGCAAGCCAUCUUUUGAUCUCUUGCUAUUUAUCCUUCUUGUUGUGCUCAUUGCUCCACUAUAUACUUGGUUCCUUGUAUCAUGUGUGAUUUUUGGUCCUCUACUCUAUGCAUACUUAUUCCCAAAGUAUGUUGAACCCCUUGUUGAUGCUUUGUAUACUUGCUCCCAAGUAUGUGAACCACCUUGUUGAUGUUAUGCAUGCUUACCCUAAGCAUGUAUGCCCCCCUGACCAUAUCCAUGUUGUCAUCUUCUUAGUGGUAUGAUGAUUAACAUCAUGACCCGUGUUUGAAUCAUAUUAAUUAUGUUGUCC